This 434-nucleotide ribosomal RNA is filed under the name uncultured Clostridiales Family XIV bacterium. Its description in RNAcentral is "bacterial SSU rRNA". It matches the Rfam family "Bacterial small subunit ribosomal RNA", at positions 341 to 792 of the family's 1533-position model. The record is from RNAcentral. Lineage: Bacteria; Bacillati; Bacillota; Clostridia; Eubacteriales; Clostridiales Family XIV. Incertae Sedis.
ACGGAAGGCAGCAGUGGGGAAUAUUGCACAAUGGGGGAAACCCUGAUGCAGCGACGCCGCGUGAGUGAAGAAGUAUUUCGGUAUGUAAAGCUCUAUCAGCAGGGAAGAAAAUGACGGUACCUGACUAAGAAGCCCCGGCUAACUACGUGCCAGCAGCCGCGGUAAUACGUAGGGGGCAAGCGUUAUCCGGAUUUACUGGGUGUAAAGGGAGCGUAGACGGUCUUGCAAGUCUGAUGUGAAAGGCAGGGGCUCAACUCCUGGACUGCAUUGGAAACUGUGAGUCUUGAGUGUCGGAGAGGUAAGCGGAAUUCCUAGUGUAGCGGUGAAAUGCGUAGAUAUUAGGAGGAACACCAGUGGCGAAGGCGGCUUACUGGACUGUAACUGACGUUGAGGCUCGAAAGCGUGGGGAGCAAACAGGAUUAGAUACCCUGGUA